RNAcentral lists this ribosomal RNA (274 nucleotides) under uncultured bacterium. Its description in RNAcentral is "partial 16S ribosomal RNA". It matches the Rfam family "Bacterial small subunit ribosomal RNA", at positions 523 to 796 of the family's 1533-position model. The record is from RNAcentral.
AUACGAAGGGGGCAAGCGUUGUUCGGAAUAACUGGGCGUAAAGCGCACGUAGGCGGAAUGUUAAGUUAGAGGUGAAAUCCCAGGGCUCAACCCUGGAACGGCCUUUAAUACUGGCAAUCUAGAGACCGAGAGAGGUGAGUGGAAUUCCGAGUGUAGAGGUGAAAUUCGUAGAUAUUCGGAGGAACACCAGUGGCGAAGGCGGCUCACUGGCUCGGUACUGACGCUGAGGUGCGAAAGCGUGGGGAGCAAACAGGAUUAGAUACCCUUGUAGUCC